GAGUGGGUCGGGGGGGAUUCUAUGGGGCUGUGUGGGUCAGGGGGGAUUCUAUGGGGCUGAGCGGGGCUGUGUGGGAUUUCUGUGGGUCUCAGGAGGAUGCAGGUGGGGGAUUCUGUGGAUUUCAGUGGGGUUCCGUGGCUCCAUAUGGGAUUUCCGUGGGUCUGAGUCCAUAUGGGAUUCUCUGGGUCCAUAUCGGAUUCUGUGGGUCCAUAUGGGAUUCCGUGGGUCUCAGUGGGUCCAUAUGGGAUUUCUGUGAGUCUUCAUUGAGUCCAUAUGGGAUUCUGCUGGUCCUUAUGGGAUUCUGUGGGUCUCUGUGAGUCCAUAUGGGAUUCUGUGGGUCCAUAGGGGAUUCCGUGGGUCUCAGUGGGUCCAUAUGGGAUUCUGUGGGUCCAUAUGGGAUUGCGUGGGUCUCAGUGGGAUUCUAUGGGUCCAUAUGGGGUUGCGUGGGUCUCAGUCUGUUUCAGUGGGUCCAUAUGGGGUUCUGUGGGUCCAUAUGGGAUUCUGUGGGUCUCAGUGGGUCUCAGUGAGUCCAUAUGGGAUUUCUGUGGGUCUCAUUGAGUCCAUAUGGGAUUGUGUGGGUCCAUAUGGGAUUCCGUGGGUCUCAGUGGGUCCAUAUGGGAUUGUGUGGGUCCAUAUGGGAUUGUG
This 645-nucleotide long non-coding RNA is filed under the name Phasianus colchicus (ring-necked pheasant). Its description in RNAcentral is "lncRNA (ENSPCLG00000016125.1)". Lineage: Eukaryota; Metazoa; Chordata; Aves; Galliformes; Phasianidae. The record is from RNAcentral.